UAAGAGAUAGUAUAAUUCUGGUAGUACGUAAGGUUUUGAGCCUUGUUGUGCAGGUUCGUGUCCUGUUCUCUUAG
This 74-nucleotide transfer RNA is filed under the name Hemitheconyx taylori. Its description in RNAcentral is "tRNA-Gln". It matches the Rfam family "tRNA". From Rfam's summary of the family: Transfer RNA (tRNA) molecules are approximately 80 nucleotides in length. Lineage: Eukaryota; Metazoa; Chordata; Lepidosauria; Squamata; Eublepharidae. The record is from RNAcentral.